GUCCCUGUAGCGCAAUGGAUAGUGCGUUGGACUUCUAAUCCAAAGUUUUCGAAUCCCACCUGGGAUG
Molecule: non-coding RNA, 67 nt
Organism: Trichonephila clavata
Lineage: Eukaryota; Metazoa; Arthropoda; Arachnida; Araneae; Nephilidae
Source: the annotation of a GenBank genome assembly